UGCAAACAGGAAAAAGAUAAUGACAACAAUCCUUUGGUCAAAUGUAAAUAGGGAAAUAUGGAAUCAGAAAGCACAGAUCUCCUAGUGGUUACUCACUGAUAAUCCCUUCCCAGAAGAGGCAGGUCUGUAAGCAGAACAACUAAUGAAGACAUGUUUCCUAUGUGCUUGUGCAUAGUGGCUGAUGAGCCUUGGUGCCUUGGGUACCAGCAACAGUCUCAAGUGGGAUCUUCUCCUGCACAGACCUGCAUAAGGUUCUGCCUGCAUGCAUUACCUGUGCAGGGUAAUGGGACUGAGCUGUGCUCCAGAGCAUUCCUUAGUAAGGGAGCUCAUCAAGUCCUUCGUGCCCAGCUGGCUGUGUGUGACACCUGUGGAGCCCCAGUACUUGUGCCCUCGGUGCCAAGGUUAGUGAUAAAUGACCAAACAUCCUGGUUCACAAGUGACUGAAGGAUGGCCACAGAGAAUUACAUGCACAAGCAAAGCAAUGUUAUCUCUCUUGGAAAUCGUGCAAACCCCAAAUUCAUUUCGUUUGUAAGUCAUUUUGAAAGCGUGCAAUGCUUUCUGGCUUCAGCCUUUGAGUCAGAGGAGCUGCAAGAUGGCUUUGUCAUUAUGUUGGUGGAGUGAGAUCAGCACCUGCAGCACAGCAGUGUUCCUCUGUACUGGUGCUCCAGGAGAUGCUUCAGGUGCCAGCUCUGGUUUGAUGGUGGCAAUGAAAACCAAGGAGAGCUCAGUGAACUGGUGGUGUUUUUCAGUCUUGGUACCCAGUGAAAUUUCUAUAGCUGUUUGUUUGAAAGGCAGAAGUGCUGCAGGAGAGCAUGAUGUUCUUUGGGGGAUAAGAUCCCCCUCUCUGUCCUCCUUAUAACAGCUCAUUUUGUCCCUUUUCAGUAGAGUAAUUUUAGUGCUUUGGAACCUAACGAUGUUUAUCCCAAGUAACAGUUUCAUAUUUCCAAGCACAGUUUGCAGCUGCCAGGAAAAACAAGCUUGAAUUUUCAGUUCAUUCAGAGCAACUGUAACGAGGGGUGUUUUAAACAGGGGCAAAACUUAGAAAUUGGAAAAUAAAGUUUGGUCUGGAGAUUCCAGGGCAGCCUGAAAUAUCAUUUUUUUUCUCAUGCUGUAUCUAAAUCGUGGAGUAAUGGAUCUCCUCAUAGUUUGUUUUUGAGAGCUGUUUUCCUGUCUCUAAGUAUUGCUUAUUUCCAUUCAUCCUAGUGUUUCAAAAUGUCCUUAUUUUAAUUUUCUAGAGCACAAGGAAUUCUUACAUUUUACUUAUUUCUCUUAAACUGUUUGCAUUCUUUUUUUGUGUGUGUGUUGUGUUUUUGUAAGGCGUUUUGUUAUAAAACUUGUAACUGUUGAUAAUUGCACGAUAGGUUGAAGGGUGCUUUGAAUGUUUAUUAGACAAACAGCUACAGCUCUGGCUGCCAUCAGUUUCCAACUGCCAUACCUCAAAGCUUGCCCAUAACUUUCUGUUGCUUGAAAGUUGUCCCUUUAGCUGUGCGAUGAGUGUCCUCUGCUCCAGUCAUAUUUCUGACUGUUUCCUCACAAAUGCAUCUGUGCUGUGAUCCAAGAACAGGACGUGUUCCAGAAUGGCAGAAUGAGAGCAACCCGGGCUGGAAGGAGCCUGAGGAGAUCCCUUGGCACAACCUUUGGUCACAGAGGGAGCCAGAAGGAACAGGGAAUGGGAUCCUGCCUGCUUGUGUCCUGCUCUGUGCUUACAUGUCCCAUGUGUGGUGUCAGACUGCUGCGUGGCUCUGGCUGGCGUUGUCAGUCUGUAUUCCUUUCAUGGGCAGACUUGGUCCUGUGUCACUAUGUCUCGGGAUCAGACGGUGUGUAAGUACUGUGGCGUCAGCUAUUUGAUACUGCAUGAAUUUAAGGUGAUGGAAGAAAAAAUAAAAGCAAUGGAAAAGGAGAUCAAGUUUUAUGAAGGAAGUCUAGAACGGGAAAAGGGACUUCAAGAAGAACUGCAGUCUCUUUACCAAGACCUUGAACGCUGCCGAGCUGAUGGGAAAUCUAAAACAGAAAGAAUAACAAGCCUAACAAUGGAGUUAAAAACCAAACAAGAUGAACUAAAAAAUGUGAAAGAAGACUUGCGGUAUUUCCAGGAAGAAAAGGAAGCUGCCCAUAAACAAUCCCAGCUGCUCAGAAGUACAUUGGAACACCAUUGCUCAACUCUGAGCAGGGCUGUCUCUCUGUUUCCUUUCAUCAGAAGAGAACUAGAAAGUAUUAAAGAAGUUGUGUCCAGUAACCUAGAGAGCUGGGCUGCCCUGAAAGAAGAAAUUUUUCAACAAAUAAGAACUGUUAGCAAAGAAGCUUUGACAGAAAUACCCAAACUGAAUCAAAAGUUAGCAAAAUCCCAGAAGGAGAAUGAGUGCCUUCAGGAAAAGGUAAAACAUCUGACUCUGGUGGCUGAUACAGUUGAGCUGAAAACUCAACAGCUUCAAACUUCUCUUCAGCAAGGAAAUGAGCUCCAAAGCAGAUGCCAUGAGCUACAAAAGGAAACAUUAGAUUUAACUAAUCAAAUCGAGACCACUGAACACAAGCUGCAGAAGGUAACAGCUGAGAUGGAUCACUACAAAAAGCUGCUAAUGGUGAAAUCAGCAGAACUUGAUGUGUGUCAAAAUGAACUGAAAAAAAUGAAAAAUGAAAAUGGAAUUUCUGAGUCAAGACUUGCAAAAGAGCUCAAAGAGAAGGAAGAAUCUCUACUGAUUUGCCAACAAGUAUGCAAACGUUUGCAGGAGGAGGUGGCUGAGAAGGAAAGGAGAGAAGGAGAUCUAAGAAGAAGAACCAGUCAAUCAGAAAGUGAACUGGAAACACUUAAAGCUCUUCUCACACAAACAGAAGAAGAGGUGGUGAUGUUGAAGCAAGAAAGGGAGUUAAUGCUGAUUUCUCAUCAGAACAGAACAGAACAGCUGCAGGAAACAUUAAGGCAGAAGAUGCGGAAUGAAGAUAACUGGAGGGAGAAGGUGGAGAUUGAUCUGGCCAAAGGUGAAGCACGACACAAAGAAGCAAUUCUCAAAGUCAAAGAAGAAGCCAGAGUGGAACUAGACACUGAAAGACAAAAGCAGCAAGAAUUAAUCACAAAAUACCAGAGAGAUCACGAAGAGCUCCAGAAGAAGAUACCUGAAUUAAUAUCCAAUGCCACCAACAGCUUACGGAUGGAAGCAGAAACUCUUGAAAAGAAGCUGCAAGAUGUUCAGAUCAAACUUGCAGAGAAAGAUAAAGAGAAAGAAAAAGAAAUUCAGAGCCUUAAAAGGCUGAUUACUGAACUUGAAUUUCAGCUGAAGGUGGAACAGAACAAUAACGAAUCAUUACUGGAUAAUAUGAGGAAAGAAAUUAAACACAAGUCAGAUGAAUUGGAAGAAUUAACCCAGGAGAGGACGCAGCUGAUUCACAGUUUGAGUCAAGUGCAAGAGGAGAACACUCUUCUCCAGGAAACGGUGCGCAGAGAGUGCGAGGAACGCUAUGAGCUGACUGCAGCUUUGACUCAAGCCAGGGAACAAGUACUGCAACUCAGAAAGCUCAGUGGAAACUUCCCUUUAUCGCCGCGUUCCCUGGCUCAGGGCAGCCUAACCUCCUCCCCUGCCCUGCGUGCUGAUUACGGACGCAGCAGCCGCCCCGGCCCAGGGAAGGCCAUCCAUCCCUCUGGGCAGGUCGGUAUUCCCCGAGCUGUGCAGGCACUCCCUGGCAGGCCCAGCAGUGUGACUUUGCCAGCUCUCAGAGGCCGGGAGACUGCGGCCAGGAGAAGGCAGCGGAGCCAACUCUGACACGUGGGGAAGCUCUGCAGUGUGUCAGCCACUGAACUGUUGGCCCUGGGCCUCAGGUGUUGCCUGAUGAACUUGGUGCAUUUCUACAGCUGAGAAUUAAGUUACGUUCUGAUAUAUUUUUGAUGCAAUAAUGUUUAUUUGUCCGUUGCGUAUCAAUGUAAUUAAAUGCUAUCUACGUUCCAAGAUGGGAAAAGUAAGAAUGAAAAAAUAAUUGCCUCUCAAAAAGGUGCACGUAUUCAAGAAGUGUAAUUAAAAUAAUUACCAACUUCAAAGGCUGUUCUCCCUAAAGCACUUUGUGGAAUUUUCCAAUUUUGUGUGUUGUCCCUUGUAACUUCAUUGUGCAUUUCUGGUGUAAAAAUGCAAUUUGUUUGGUUAGAACCAGUUAUAUGCCAUUAUUUCAUGGAGCAGUGUGCACCCAUUGCCUGGGCAGCCUCCCCCAGAUGCUGCAGCCAUCUUCCCAACAGUGCCAGCACGGACCUGAGCUACUCAGCUGGGGGUAAGUUGGAAAGGAGCAUCCUAGGGAUUGUCAGAGCAUGUGAGCAGCAGGAUCACUGAGGCUGCCUGCUCCUAGUUGGGUUUUAGGACUGGGCUCUCUCUAUGUUUGGAAGUUGCUGCUUUGCAGGAUGCUUGUAAACACAAAUACUUGCACCAUGAACAUUGACUAUAUUAUUUCUGAGUGGUGAGAUAGCCCUGUGUGUGCUGAAGUGACUACAUGUCGCUUCAGUGCUGGAGUAAGUUAGAAUUGCUUUGCUGAAUCCAGUGGCAUAGCAGGGAAUACAUGUCACAUAAUAAAAUUAGUGGGAGAAGCAACUGUUGUAGAUUUAGCAUCCUGGGCUAGAUUUUAAGGUGUGCUUUGUCUUACUCAGCUUCUGUUCCCACUGAACCUUUACUGAUCCUUUCCAUUACUGAACCUUAACUGAUCUCAGUGGUAGCAGAGUGCAUCCAAAAGCUCAGAAAUCCCCUAUUCUCAAAUUCAGAAAGCAGCAAGAAUUCAGUGGCAACAAUCAAUCAUAGACACAGUGGAGAUACCUGGGAAGCAAAGUCCCAGGAGAAAUCCUGACUUCUUUGAGCUUGAAAGCUGUUACUGUUACCUACCUGCAGUCUUCCUGUGCUGAAGGAGCAGACCUUUGUUGAGGCAGCUCCUAAAAUGGUGAGUUCCAGUGUGUCAAUUUUAAAUAAAACUCUUAGAUGAACUUCAAUUUUAUUUUAUAUACUUAGAGAACAUUUAAAUUAUGCAGUACAUUAAUUUUUAUUUUGCUUGCUCAGACCACUGUGGAACAGACAUGAGGGUGAACGCUUGUGACAGUUGAUAUAAUUGAGAGUUUAAUGCUGGAUUUUUUGUAUUGAAGAAGUGAGA
Molecule: non-coding RNA, 5112 nt
Organism: Phasianus colchicus (ring-necked pheasant)
Lineage: Eukaryota; Metazoa; Chordata; Aves; Galliformes; Phasianidae
Source: RefSeq, a predicted model, not a curated record